UGUAAGGGCGAUCUGGCUGCGACAUCUGUCACCCCAUUGAUCGCCAGGGUUGAUUCGGCUGAUCUGGCUGGCUAGGCGGGUGUCCCCUUCCUCCCUCACCGCUCCAUGUGCAUCCCUCCCUAAGCUGCACGCUCGGUCGAAGAGGACGACCUUCCCCGAAUAGAGGAGGACCGGUAUAAGAGCAGCUGUGCUCCCCUGCUAGAACCUCCAAACAGGCUCUCAAGGUAUUCUUCUUGCAUUUUAAAUUCAACAAAAGUUGACAGAAUUCUUUUAAAUAUUCUCAAUAAAGCAUUAGAUUUAUGUAA
This 305-nucleotide small nuclear RNA is filed under the name Jaculus jaculus (lesser Egyptian jerboa). Its description in RNAcentral is "7SK RNA (ENSJJAG00000003176.1)". It matches the Rfam family "7SK RNA". Rfam says of the family: 7SK was discovered as an abundant small nuclear RNA in the mid-70s but a possible function has only recently been suggested. The record is from Rfam by way of RNAcentral. Lineage: Eukaryota; Metazoa; Chordata; Mammalia; Rodentia; Dipodidae.